UGAGCUUGGUCUUGUAGAUUAUAUCUGAAGCAACGCCCAACCAACGGUGUCUGCUCAACAUGCAGCGAAGACGAGAAAGAAAUCAAGAACCGCUCGACAUAAUCAGGAUUUACGGUGAACGCAUCCAGAUUACAAAGGUUACGUUACACUUGAAGAAAAAAAAGGUAGAAACCUCUGAUCUUAAGCUUCGCGACGCCGCCGGCUUGCCGCGCUGCUUCUUUCUUCCUUUUUAUUGAUCUCGUCCCGACCGAGUGACUGGGUCUCCAGAUUAAUACCACCCAGAUCAGAUGACCAAGAACACAAACUGCGAACGGCAAGGCGCCGGAACCCAAAAGCUACCCAGGACCAGGAGGAUAUAUUUGACUGACCAGCAGGACAGGAGAAAGAAAAACAGAGCUGGAAUCCAGCAGAAGAGUUGUGCAAGAAGAACCAACGCCAAAAAGCGCAGAGGACUAAAUGGCGACCUGCCCUGCCCUGCCCAGCUGCCCUGCUGCGCAACGGAAGCCGGGCGCGCGCGCGCAGGUGCGCUUGUGGAGACCCGGACGGGGAGGGGGACGGGCGGUGUCCCCCGCUUUUGGCAGCGUAGGG
This 588-nucleotide long non-coding RNA is filed under the name Zea mays. Its description in RNAcentral is "long non-coding RNA (ZMAY_LNC001806)". The record is from RNAcentral. Lineage: Eukaryota; Viridiplantae; Streptophyta; Magnoliopsida; Poales; Poaceae.